AACGGUUUCUUUUAAAGCCUCACAUUCUGUUGCCACCAUUUGGUGCUAUGACAAUGUAUCGCUAUUGGUAUGUGUAUGUGACAGCGCACCAUCAUUUAACAUACAGUGCAUGUAAAGUCUGAGUCUUACUGCUUUAUAUCAGGUGGAAUUAUGCCAUGUUAGAGUGAAAUGUUAGUUGAUUGCCUUGCCAUGGCAACACUAUUUAAGAAGAUAAAUUUAUUCACAUUUUAGCAUCACGGAGAUCAUCAUUAUUCUGAUCAAGUUUGGUUUGAAUCUAAUGAAUUUUGUAGGAGGAGUAUUUAAAAGUUUGAUAACUGUCAAAAUGUACAAAAGCCAAAAUGGCUGAUUUCCUGCUGGGCAGACUUGGAUGGAUGUUAAGGGGUGCUGUCAAGCCCCAGAGCCAUGCCCAUGUCCAUUUUUAUUUUAUUUUAUUUAUUUUUUAUUUUUUUUGCAUUUGCCAGCUUUCGUUUGAUUUUGAGCAUGCCAAGCACCUCAAAAAUGCAACAAAAGUUCAGGAGGAAAAAUAAUUCUAACAGAUAGUUGGGCCUUUCACCCUUUUGGUGCUUGGGCCCUAAUAAAAGCUGCUUGCUUGUUUUCCUUUUCCAUUUUCAUUUCUAAAUUUCAUUUCUUUGUUUUAGAAUUUUUAUUUCCAAAUGAAAAAUGUCUUAAAGCAAAGUACAUUGACCGUAUGGCUAUCACAUUUUGUUCCCCAAGUUUUCUUUCAGUUGGUGUACCACACCACUGAUAAAACAGUAUGUAUUGGUGCUCAAACAAGGCCUUUCAACUCUGCAGUUCAGACCUAAAAUGUUGGCCAAAGUUUCUGUGUGCGUGUGAACAGGGAAGCACUGGUUGCCAGAAGCUUUUGGAGAGGUUUAGGAAAAGUCUAUCCAAAACCCAGAAAUCCUGAGAAUCAUUCGACAUUUGUGGCAAAGCAUGCGAGCAGCAAGCCAUCCAAGUACAGAGGUGAAUGAAGCAAUGGAAUCUGGCACACUGUAUCUGUGUUUUACUGCAGGAGCAUCGCUAUGGCCAAUCAUUCAGGAACCAAAUGUUUUUAGACUAUUCAAAGCUACUCUGGAUUUGAGAGAAGGUUUAGUUGGAGAUGUGUUUGUUUGGGAUUAUAAAAAAAAAAAAAAAAAAAAAAAACAACCCACAGUUUUGAAAGUGUAGUUUGUGGCUAGUGGCUAGUCUUAAAAAAAGGCAUCCUUUCUAUGUUUGCGGAUGAUUAGCCAAUUUCUGAUACAAUAUAUAAACAAUGACUAUACAGACAAUUGUUUUGAUUUUUAAGUAUAUAUAUAUUAUUGAUAAUGUGUACGUUAUUAGAAAGCUACCACAGCUACUGAAAUAUUUUUCACCGAUUCACUUUCUGAUCCAAACACUGAUAAGAUCGCUCUCUCUACACGCACUCACAUAAUUUCCCAGCUACUAGGGUGUUCCGUACAUAUUCACCAGGUUUUAAGAAGUUGUUGUAACCGUCUCAAAAUCGCUGCAAUGUUCUAAAACAGUUCUGCAAUGCAUUACUCAUGCAUGUGUGUUGAUAAAUGCAAAUCAUUCCUAAAUUAUUGAGCAUGUUCACAGCACAGCUGAGAAACAUUUAUUGACACUGACAAAGCUAAAUAAAAGGCAAAGCAAAUAAAGCUGAAAAUGACAAAAUGACAACUAAAUGGUGAAAGCAAUGAACCGGUGAAAGAGAGUGCCUCUUAUGUGUGUAGUGCAUUAAAUCUUCCAGCUCUUGCAGCAGGUCAGCUACUGUAGUCACACAUCUCUUCUUCCUCCAUAUGGCAUCAUUUCCUAAUUGAGUGACUAGUUUUCUUUUGUCUUAAUUUACAGUAUGGAUUUGUUUUGGAUUCUUUUAAGUCAUUAGUAUGAAAUGACUGAGUUUCACAAAACUUUCACCAAAUUUGUGUAUUCAGUUGAAAUAAAUUGAAACUUGACGGUGUAAUCCAUAGAUAAAAUUUGCAGUAACUCAUGCAUAUUAUAAGGUCUGAAGCCCAUCAGUCAACAUUUACAUGACUAAGAGUCCUUAUAUUGAAAUGUGCACAUUUUUUUAAUUUUAUUUUACAAAAACUAAAUUUUCCAGACAAACUGGAUUUUCAUGAAAGCCACAUUUCUCCUGUGAACAGUUUACAAAUACAUUUGUUUGUAUCCAGCUUGAUCAGUGAGGCCCAAUGUUCAAGUUUGGACAAAAGUAACAUUAUACAACAUUUAAUUCCAGUCCACUAAUUUGAUUGGUCGAGCAGGAUUCCAAGAGUGUGUAUAUUUCAGAUAACCAUACUGGGACGUUUCACAGUGUGUAUCACUCCCCUCCUCUGUGUUCACCCCAUAAAAUUUCCCUUCCUAGUUCAAAACAGUUACUACAGUAGUGUUAGUGACAUCAUCAGCAGACAUGGCAUGCAAUACUUUUUCAGGAAUAUAACUUUUAUCUUAAGAUAUGACAGCUCACCUGGAAAGAUGGAAAAGAACAAGAAGGGAUGACAGUUUUACCAGAAUCACCUUUAACAUGAAUGCACAAAUCAAUGUGCGCCAGUUAGACGACGUGUUAUAAAGUGAAUGCGGCUUCUUCGGGAUCUACUUCCGCAAGCAGAGCAAAAAUCAACAGAACAUUUGGCCAUAUUGCGUCCAAAAUGUCACUUACUCGAUAUUCAUUGCUUGUUAUAUGGGGUACUCCCAAUCGUGUCACAAUAGUGAUAGUGUAAAUAGCAUGCUUUUGUGUCAUGAUAGAAAUUAUUCAUAAUAGUUAAAUUAUUCUUGUAGAAAGUAAUUAGAAAAUUAGGCGUAUUAUUUUGAACAAUGAAAAAGAAAAAAAUUGGAAGGUCCUCACAGCCUCGCAAAGGUUUCAGUCUGCUGUAGAUGUUUAUGUGCUGUAGUGUUUCAGUCCGUUUCUGUGGUUGUUUGAAGUCAUGUAGUAAAGCUUGAUGUUUACAUGGACAGCAGUAAUCUAAUUACUGACUGUAUUCUGAAUAAGACAAUAAUGUGAUUAAGGUGUUUUCAUGAGCUGCUUUUAGAAUACUCUUUUCAUGUUCCCGUGUUACAUGUUAUAGAACAUAGAUCAAUUAACAGCACACGUCAUUACAUCCCCACGCCACGCUGUCCGACGUUCCCUCUAGAAUUUCAUGUAUCGACAUACAGUUCUUCAUUAUGGUACCAUAUACAGAUUUGGGUGUUUUUAUUUUUAAUUUCACGAACGCUUCAAGUGCAGUUAAUUAUUUGUCAUGCUAAACGUGCUAAUAGAAGACUGCUUGAAACCGUGGACUGCGUCUGAAACCGUGCACUUACCUACUAUAUAGUAUCGGAAGUACGUGUAUUUAACCUACUAUAUAGUAGGUAAGUUGUGGACGCAGACGUGCUCUCCUGUUUGCCGUCAAACGGUUGAGCACUGCCGUGUGUGUAUGUGUCCUGUCGCAAAAUGCAGUGAAAACUCCCACACGGUGUUAAUAGUGUGAUUAAGGUGUGUACAUGUCUGUAAUGCACUUCUAUAAUGUGACUAAAACAGGAAUACUCCGCAUGUCUUAAUUCCAUUUGUUAUUUUGAGUAUGACUUCAGUCGCAUUACUGUAAUCAAUAAUCGCUGUUUACAUGUUAGUUUCUUAAUCAGAGUAUUGUCUUAAUCGGGUUAAUAUCGGAAUAUUGUCCAUUUAAACAUACUGAGUGUCUGACAAUAUCAAGUGAAGCAAAGGAAUCACAGCGACAAAGCCAAAGUCAAUCAGAUGUAUGUAUUAAUUGGCAUAUGUUUUGCUCCUCAACCACCCACAUGUUAUUUGCUAAUGUCAGUUGUUAAUAAAGAAGUCUUGAUCUGGGUUCAGUUAAGUCCUCAGUGGUGAUCUAAAUGCACAAGAAUGAUCAUUUUUCUCGGGGAAUAUAUCCAUGGAUCCUCCUACAAAUCUCCAUGUUUUGGCAUAAACCCCCGACUUUUUAAAUCCUAGAAAUGCCCCUGUAUCAUAUUACACCCCCACUCACACGCUGCCUGUGUCUUGAGGCAACGUAUUCACUUUUAUUGAGGUUCAGAACGCCUGUAUAGUUUUAUUGGGAUCCAAUUAUUUGAUAUAUUCCAUCCUUGUGGUGGUGUUGCAGGUAAUUUAUUUGUCUUUUGCUUGUUUAGAGAUUUUUUUUUUUUUGGGUCGCUGUGUGGUUGGGAGCAAGAACAGAAGAGAAGAGAAAUGAAGGCCCUUGUAAAAUUCCAGCAGGAAACUCUUUCAAAAGAAACUAAGAUCUUUGCUUCCAUCCUGCACUGAAUUGACAGGCUUUGUUUAAAACAGGGCAUCAGGGCCAGUUGUGAUUGCUGGAGUGGUGGAGUGAUUGCUGAAGUGGCUUCCCAGAGCUCUACUGAGCUUCAAAUGGAUCACAUCAUGCUUAUAGUAUUAUUAUCAUAUAAAAACAUCCUUUAUUUUUAUUUUUUCAUGAAAAAGUACUUUUGUCUAGGAAGCGUACUUCAUUGGGUGUGUGUUUAAUGCUUUAACCCCCUGCUGAAUCUGUCUAGGUGCUGUUUAGUCUAUUACAAUGUGAGAUAUAAUGUUGAUGUUUAUUGAUGUAAUGUUGAGAUUUAAUGCUUAAAUGUUGCUUCUUUAAGUAGACAUGUAGGUGGAGGUUCAGAAGUCUACAGUAUAAGACUGUUUAAGAUUAUUUGCUUUUUUUCUGUUGAUGCGUAUACAGAUGCGUAUACAGUUUUGCCAGAUCACUGCAGAGUUUCUUGGUCAGAGCGAAGUUUACAGGUAACAAUUAGACUGUAUACAACAUUUCAUUCCUGUAUAUGAGGAGCAAUAAGUUCAUCCUGUUUCACGGUUCAAGCCCUCUAGACAUUUAAAAAUCCAGGAGCAAAGAACUAAACUCAAAACACCUUGAAGUCAUUAGGUCAAUUAUAUGUAAAUAAUAAAAGGUGGUGGUGUCUGUUUUUUGUUUUUCUGUGCUUUUUCAAUCAACAAUACUUUUGCAUUUGCUCAGACAUGUUAAUAAAUCUGUCUUUUUCUUCUUGGUUGCAUAACAUGACUUCUGCAAUUCCUUUUUUCCAUUCUUUUUUUUUUUGUUUCAUUUUAUAACACUGACUACUUUGCUCUCUUUGUCCUUUUUUACUUUAAAUCAAAACCACCUUUUAACAAAGACCACCAGUAACGGAAAAAUUAUCAAUAUAAGUAUAAAAAGUGUCUAUACACCAAUCAGCUAUAACAUUAAAACUAUGUUCCUAAUAUUGUGUAGGUCCCUGUAGGUACUCUGACCAGUCUGCAGCUAUGCAUUAACUUUUUUCACUUAUUUUUGCUACAGUAGCUCUUCUGUGGGACCAGACCAGACAGGCCAGCCUUCCCCAUGCGCAUCUGAGCCUUGGGUGCUUGUGACCCAGUCAUUGUCCUACCUCGGACCACUUUGGUCAUAUGGGCUACAAGUGAAUCUCAACCCUUAUGAGAUUUGUUGCAAUAUAAAAAGAGGCUCUUUCCCUGAACCUGCUGGAAACACAGCAAUAAAUGCAGUGUGAAUUUCAGGAUAUUUCCAUCACUUCAUUGCAUAUAUAUAUAUUUCCACAGGAGACAAACUUAUAUGAGUUAGCAGAUGACCUCAUAUAUUGCUUAACCAGGGGAAAUUCUUGUAAUAAGGUAACAUGUUGUCACACAGCGCACAUAUUUGAUUAUUUUUUAUACUGACCAAAAUUAACUUAUAAUUUAUUACGAAUAGAAAUUACAUAGUGUUAAUUGUGACUAUGAGUGUUAAAUCUUCCUCUCAUAGAUGUUCAACCUUAAGCCGAGUAGUAAUGUAAUUCGGUAUAUCCCAAAUAAAGUAUGUGGGUUUCAGGUAGAUUAGAUUGCUCUAUUACUUCAAUUAAUUCAAAUACAUUCAAAUAUUUCAUAUUAGCAGUCAAAUAUGGCACAUAGGAGCCAGAAAUUGCAAUGACAAGAGUAUUUAAAGAUUCAAUUCUAACAUGUGGUGCAGGAACAUCACAGCAAUUCACAGCCUGAAUACAAACUAAACUGAUUAGGCUUAUGUCUGUUCAGCCACAGCACGUAUCCAAAAACUGUUAAGCAUGACAUUCACUGUAUGAGAAAACCACACUUAGCUAGCCAGGUUUUAGACAUCUUCAGGCAGGCUAUACCACUAUGUUUGUUAAACUAGAUCUGUUUACACAACAUGAUCUUUGCAGCCUAGGCAAGGUUAAAAUCUAAAUAAAAAAUUUCCACAUGUAUGUUAUAGGCAAAAAGAAGUUUGGUCAAAAUCAGCCAUUUCCCAGAACUCAGCCAGAGAGUCAGUACUGUGAAAUGUAUGUGUUAAUACAUGGAAUGUUCAACACUGAUAUCAUGGAAAUGUAACAGAAAUACGGUUUCGUUAUAUCUGUUUUGGUCCUAACUGCUCUAUUGAAGUAAAUAAAAAGUGAGCAAAGUACCUUUCAAAUUUACUAAAAAUCUAUUCACAUGAAAUGGUAAAUGGUCUGCACUUAUAGAGCGCUUUUAUCCAAAGCACUUUACACUGUGUCUCAUUCAUCCAUUCACACACACACACACACAUACCAAUGGUAGCAGAGCUGCCAUGCAAGGCGUUAACUUGCCAUCGGGAGCAACUUAGGUUUUGGUGUCUUGCCCGAGGACACUUCGGCAUGUGGAGUCAUGUGAGCCGGGAAUCGAACCGCCAACCCUAAGAUUAGUGGACAAUCCGCUCUACCACCUGAGCCACAGCCACCAAAUAUGCCCACUUUAUGAGGACAUGUUUGAUUUAGCUAUAGCACAAUGGUGACAAUUUCAUCAGUGUGGUAGUCUAGCUCAUUGGUUCUAAAUGUAGUGUCUGGGGACCUCAACAGUCCAUGAAGCAUUGCCGGUGGUCUGUGAUUUAAAAAAAAAAAUCUAAAUCCACCAGUAUCAAUGUUGUUCUGAAUAUUAUUCCUUUAUUCCAGUUUUAGCUUAAUUGACUGGUCACUUUAAUUAAAUGAGUGUAAUCCAAACCUUAAUAAAUGAAAAAUAAGUAAGCUGAUUAAAAAUGUCAACUUGGACCUAAUGUGUUCUGUCAAUAGAAAGUUCAGGGGAAAAAAACUCAAUAGCUCCAGUAAAUAAUCAGAAUAUUAUUGUACAUUCUUGAAAUAUUUGGAUAUAAAUCUGAGGGGAUCUGUGCUGAGGGGAUCUGUGGAUUUUUGUUUGUUUGUUUGUUUGUUUGUUUACAGCUAAAUUGGUCUCCAGCUCAAAAAAGUUUCAGAACCCCUGGUUUAGCUGACUACUGUACCUAGCUGACAGUCUGUGCAACAUAAUAUUUUCAGAUACCAUUAUAACAGACAAUAUACUAAAUGUAAAUGUAAUACAGUAAUCUAUAGGCGACUUAAAAGUUGAGGCUUAUUAAACUAUAACUACUCAUUAGUUCAUGUAGCAUGUUGCAUGUAGUAUGUUGAAAUACUAUGAAAUAGCAAGAGGGGUUGAAAGUAAGUAAGUAAUAUACAUAUAAGGGAUUGCAUAAGUAAGACUGGGGUUGAGAUGACUCAUAGUUACAAAAAGGAACAUGUCAAAAUCUUGGAAUGUUAGAAGGGAAGGGUUUGACUGCAUUAAAAGUUGGGUUUUCACUCCAAUAAUUCCCUGAUAUUAGACUAUAAUCUGUUUACUCUUUGCUGAUUUUGAAUACUUUGAUUUUGAAUUUACUCAGGAAUUUUUCGAACAUGCUGCAAACAGGAAAAGAGCAUGAGACGUGUCGUUUCUUAUUGCUUCGGGAGACUCAGAACACAAUCUGACAAGCAUGUCAGGCCAAUCACCUCAGUGCCGGUAUCUCCGACUUUCCUGCUACCGCAUCCCUAUACUCCACUUCAUCCCAGAGGGGAAAAACAGAGAGAUGACAAACACAUUCUCCUCUCCUGAGUACUAUUGCCCCAACUUAACUCAAUCUGGCCCUAUGAUUUCCCACUGCCUCCAGAUCAAAUCUCAUUUCCUCGAUUAAUUAUGUAAACUAACUGAAAGAUUAUUCUUCUUUUCUUCUGUUGCACUAAACAAUGAAUCAUAUAGAUGAACUAGGUCACCUGGCAGAUAUUUCAAGAGCCUGGUACACACUCUACAAAUGAGCAAUGCAGAGAUUCACUUUCUGGAUGAGACAUCACAGAACUGCAUCAAGCAAACAGACAUCGAGUGGAGACAUUCAGUUUGUUGAUGAAGUGGCCAAACUAUUAAUCCUGUUUCAAACUUUAAUGCUGUCCCACAGGGAUGAGAGGCCAUGUCAGAGAGAGAGAGAGAGUGUGUGUGUGUGUGUGUGUGUGUGUGUGUGUGUGUGUGUGUGUGUGUGUGUGUGUGUGUGUUUGUGAGAAUGUGAGAAACGAGGUUCGCCUUGUCUUUGAUGAGAUGUGUUAGGACUAAACCAUCUGUUAUAAGCGGAUCCAUGUUUCAUCAGCCUCCAAUUCCUUUCAUGAUGACAAGUGAUAAUAACUCUCCUACUUGCUUUCCUUGGAAAGGAGACUCUGUGGAGUGUUCUCCACCUCUCCCAAGUGACUCUGGUACAGCGUGUUAAAUAAUAUUUGCUGGAGAAGGAGGACAUGACCUUUCCGAAAACACAACAUCCUGUUACCAUGUACUCUACUUAGGUGUUACACGAAAAACAAACUUUGCUCGUUUAUAUAAGCGCAAACCAUAUUACGCUUUUAUCCCCAGCAUGGGGAGUUUGAAAAAUGUGGGUGUUUUCAGGCAAACCAUCAAACCUUAUUACUACAUCUAUAAACUGUGUACAUGGUUAUUGAUAAUAGAUUGAGAUGAAGCUCCUUCCAAUAAGGGGUUCAAUUCAAGAGGGGAAAAAGUUGGUGCAUGAACGAAUAUUUAUGGCUAAUGUAUUGUGAAGAUCCCACAACAUUAAAUGUAGCUACAAUGGAUAAAAUGUACAAUGUGCCAUUCUUUAAUAACAAAACAAUGUGAAAAGAAUUGUUAGCAGUUGUGAUAUGAGAGCAAUAAAACACUUCAGGAUGUGCUGUUAUUGGAAAAUAAUUCAGUGUGGUCAUGUCUCUCUGUUUUUCAUUGGGCCACAUCACACCACCCUGUCAUUGAUUAUCCAGAGUAACUUACAAAAAGUGCAGACAGCAGUGCAAAGAUAAAUAAAGUACUGCACAGCAUGGAAAACACACAAAUGUGCAGGAUACAGGGUUCUCGAGGACCAGGAUUGAGAACCUACAGUAUGGACUAAAGACUGGUCCAAGUAAUGCUGGUCCAAGCUGAUGUGUGUUAGAGUGAUCCAUUGGGUAACCACAAAGCACAGACCCAAAAAGUAAGUGUGUGAACAAUAAAAUCACAGUGUAGAGAAUUACAAAGACCUGUUAUCAUGCUGCAAAUAUUUUCUGCAAAAGUCUUCAGUCCUUUAGGAAGGAAUGGAGACAACAGGACCAUUCCAACUGUAAGGGGAAGCUCAUUUGAUGACUGAGGAGCCAGCAGGAGUGAGUUAUGAAGUAACAAGCAUCUGUACUUUGUAUCUAGUAUCAGAAUCAGAAUGUUUUUAUUUUAUUUGCCAAGUACAGGGUGUACAAGGAAUACUUUUUGGUGCAAGGUCACACAAUACAGUACAAUACAAUACAAUACAAUACAGUGCAAUAUAGUAUAGUGCAAUACAAUAUAAUAUAGUACAAUACAGUGCAAUGCAAUACAAUACAAUACUGUAUAAUACAAUAUAAUACAGUAGAAUACAAUACAAUACAGUACAAUACAAUACUGUACAAUACAAUAUAAUACAGUGCAAUACAAUACAGUGCAAUACAAUACAAUGCUACGUACUACAAUACAGUACAAUAUAAUACAAUUACAAUACAGUUCAGUACAAACCAAUAUAUGGGGCACGGUGGCUUAGGGGUUAGCAUGUUUGCCUUGCAAACAGGGGUUUGAUUCCCGCCUCUACCCUGUGCCCGCAGAGUUUGCAAGUUCUCCCCGUUCUUCGAUGGUUUCCUCCAGGUACUCUGGUUUCCUCCCCCUGUCCAAAGACAUGCACUGUAGGCUCAUUGACAUCUCUAAAUUGUCCAUAACGUGUGAAUGGGUGUGUGAGUAUGUGUGUGAUUGUACCCUGCAAUGUGUUGACACCCCUUCCAAGGUGUCCUCUUCCUUGUACCCCAAGUUCCCUGGGAUGGGCUCCAGGCUCUUCACGACCCCGUGUAGGAUAGGCAGUUCAGAAAAUAGAUUGAUGGGUGGAUGGAUGGAUGGACAAUACAGUACUACAUACUAAAAUACUAUAUAAUACAAUACAAUAAAGGACAAUACAAUAGAUCUGUACAGAUAGAUUGUACACUUUGAUUCAUAUGCCCAUUGACCUUGAUCUGCUCAUAAUGCUGUAUUUUGGAUUGUGGAUAUUUGCAAUAAAUCUCCUGCACAUGUAUCUUAAUCUUGCCCCUGAGUCUUCCUUUAUAUAAGAAGGUUCAGACUUUACUUAGCUAUAUUACUGUAAUAUACGUGCACUGUCAUUCGAAAUGCACUUUUCUCUCCCUGUAUUUAAUUUAGACCUUCAAAUAGACUUCAUUUCAUACACUCUUUUGCCUGGCUAUUUAUAACA
This is a long non-coding RNA of Ictalurus furcatus (blue catfish), 10457 nucleotides long. RefSeq lists it as uncharacterized. The record is from RefSeq and is a predicted model, not a curated record. The transcript has 3 exons. NCBI's taxonomy places the organism in Eukaryota, Metazoa, Chordata, Actinopteri, Siluriformes, Ictaluridae.